CUUCCCAUACGGGUUGAAGCAUGACCGUAAGGACAUGUGGACAGUAUGGGAGUGAGAAUGUUGGCAUGAGUAGCGAGAUGUGGGUGAGAAUCCCACAGGCCGUAAACCCAAGGUUUCCAGGGGAAGGGUCGUCCGCCCUGGGUUAGUCGGGACCUAAGCUGAGGCCGAAAGGCGUAGGUGAUGGACAACAGGUUGAUAUUCCUGUACUACCGAUAACCGGUUGAGAGAAGGGAUGACACAGUAGGAUAAGCUAAGCACACUGUUGGUUAUGUGUGCCCAAGCAUUGAGGCAGUCAAAG
This 298-nucleotide ribosomal RNA is filed under the name Clostridioides difficile. Its description in RNAcentral is "partial 23S ribosomal RNA". It matches the Rfam family "Bacterial large subunit ribosomal RNA", at positions 1237 to 1533 of the family's 2925-position model. The record is from RNAcentral. Lineage: Bacteria; Bacillati; Bacillota; Clostridia; Peptostreptococcales; Peptostreptococcaceae.